This is a long non-coding RNA of Panonychus citri (citrus red mite), 1053 nucleotides long. RefSeq lists it as uncharacterized. NCBI's taxonomy places the organism in Eukaryota, Metazoa, Arthropoda, Arachnida, Trombidiformes, Tetranychidae. The transcript has 3 exons. The record is from RefSeq and is a predicted model, not a curated record.
AAACAAUCUGUUCAUUACAAUCUGAUCUCUGGUGGUUGAUUCAUUUUCACCAACCCGGUUGCUUAAGCCAUUGAAUUAGACGCUCAGUUUAAAUGUUAGUUGAUUCGUUCAUCAAUUGCUGCUUUUGAUUGUUCUAAUAAAUGGAAUAUUUGUCUUGAUGAUCAACUAAUUAUCUUUUGAUAUUCAAAUAAAAAAAAGGUGCUUAAAGUUAGUAAAAGCAUAAAGAUAUUACCCAAGUUUCUCUCUUUGGAGCUGCCCUCGCAAUAUCUUAAGACGAAGCGAAACUAGUAUGCAGUGGAUUAAACAAUCAGAAUUACCUAGGAUACAGAGAUGUAUCAAGGGUUAUACUGGUAAAUACCCGGAUGCUCCAUAGAGUAGAUCCUAGAAAAUUGAGAUAUGGAUAUCAAAUUUGGAUUUUACUCGAAAAUUGUAAAUUUCUGAUGAUGAAAUAAUUACACUGAGAAUAAAAUAACUUGAAACAUUUUUCUUAUCCAAACAAUAAUUUCAAAUCGUGUUACUAAACUAUAACCGUUGAAAUAGUGAUGAUAAUAAGAUGAAAAUUUAUAUUCCAAACGACGACAAUUAAAAAAUUAACGAUUGGCUAUUUAAAAGCAGUAGACAAGUUAAAUUACUUUUUAGUUGAUCAAAAGUAAUCAAACAUCAAAGUUAAUCAAAUUAAAUUUAAUCAACCAUUGAUUUUGUGAGUUUCCAACUUUAACCAAGUCACAAUGAGAGUACCAAUUAUCUUAGUUUUGAUAAUCAGUUUUAAUUUAUUUCAGCAAAUUGUCUCAAUCAACGCAGAUGAAGUUGGUUCCUCAGUCGAUGAAGUUGAAACUAGUGGGAUUUUAACCUUUCUUGGCUUUGAAUUCAACAAGAAAUUUCUUCAAUUCAUUUCAACAAUUAAAGACAAUUUAUUUGGUUGGAUAUUAAAUUACUUUGGUUUACCCAAUUAGCAAUUUUGUUUUAUCAAUUGAUUUUUUAGUCAAAAAUAUAAAAUGUUUCGUAUUGUACUUGAUUAAAAUGACGUCGAUUAAAUUGGCAAUUUUAUAUCGA